AGAUUGAACGCUGGCGGCAUGCCUAACACAUGCAAGUCGAACGGGAGUAGCAAUACUCUAGUGGCGGACGGGUGAGGAAUACGUAGGAAUUUGCCCUUAAGUGGGGGAUAACCCGGGGAAACCCGGAUUAAUACCGCAUGACCUCGAAAGAGCAAAGUGGGGGAUCGCAAGACCUCACGCUUUUGGAGAAGCCUACGUCGGAUUAGCUAGUUGGUGAGGUAAUGGCUCACCAAGGCGACGAUCCGUAACUGGUCUGAGAGGAUGAUCAGUCACACCGGAACUGAGACACGGUCCGGACUCCUACGGGAGGCAGCAGUGGGGAAUAUUGGACAAUGGGCGCAAGCCUGAUCCAGCAAUGCCGCGUGUGUGAAGAAGGCCUUCGGUUG
Molecule: ribosomal RNA, 386 nt
Filed under: uncultured soil bacterium
Lineage: Bacteria
Description: bacterial SSU rRNA
Rfam family: Bacterial small subunit ribosomal RNA
Source: RNAcentral